CCUGGUUGAUUCUGCCAGUAGUCAUAUGCUUGUCUCAAAGAUUAAGCCAUGCAUGUCUAAGUAUAAGCAAUCAUACUGUGAAACUGCGAAUGGCUCAUUAAAUCAGUUAUCGUUUAUUUGAUAGUACCUUUACCUGGAUAACCGUGGUAAUUCUAGAGCUAAUACAUGCUAAAAACCCCGACUUCGGAAGGGGUGUAUUUAUUAGAUAAAAAACCAAUGCCCUCUGGGCUCCUUGGUGAUUCAUAAUAACUUAACGAAUCGCAUGGCCUUGCGCCGGCGAUGGUUCAUUCAAAUUUCUGCCCUAUCAAUUUUCGAUGGUAGAGUAGUGGUCUACCAUGAUCUUAACGGGUAACGGGGAAUUAGGGUUCUAUUCCGGAGAAGGAGCCUGAGAAACGGCUACUACAUCCAAGGAAGGCAGCAGGCGCGCAAAUUACCCAAUGCUAAUUCAGCGAGGUAGUGACAAUAAAUACUGAUACGGGGCUCUUUCGGGUCUCGUAAUUGGAAUGAGUACAAUCUAAAUCCCUUAACGAGGAACAAUUGGAGGGCAAGUCUGGUGCCAGCAGCCGCGGUAAUUCCAGCUCCAAUAGCGUAUAUUAAAGUUGUUGCCGUUAAAAAGCUCGUAGUUGAACCUUGGACCUGGCUGAUCUGUCCUCCUAAUCGAGCGCACGGAUUCGGUCGGGUCUUUCCUUCUGGGGAGCCCUAUGCCCUUCACUGGGUGUAGUGGGGAACCAGGACUUUUACCUUGAAAAAAUUAGAGUGUUCAAAGCAGGCCUUUGCUCGAAUACAUUAGCAUGGAAUAAUAGAAUAGGACAUCGGUUCUAUUUUGUUGGUUUCUAGGACCGCUGUAAUGAUUAAUAGGGAUAGUCGGGGGCGUCAGUAUUCAAUUGUCAGAGGUGAAAUUCUUGGAUUUAUUGAAGACUAACUACUGCGAAAGCAUUCGCCAAGGAUGUUUUCAUUAAUCAGUGAACGAAAGUUAGGGGAUCGAAGACGAUCAGAUACCGUCGUAGUCUUAACCAUAAACUAUGCCGACUAGGGAUCGGACGGUGGUUUUUUUAUGCCCCGUUCGGCACCUUACGAGAAAUCAAAGUUUUUGGGCUCGGGGGG
This 1104-nucleotide ribosomal RNA is filed under the name Phialophora macrospora. Its description in RNAcentral is "SSU rRNA". It matches the Rfam family "Eukaryotic small subunit ribosomal RNA", at positions 3 to 1120 of the family's 1831-position model. Lineage: Eukaryota; Fungi; Ascomycota; Eurotiomycetes; Chaetothyriales; Herpotrichiellaceae. The record is from RNAcentral.